UAGUAGCCUUCAACCCGUGGCUCUAGACAUCCUGCACCCUCUUCAGAUCAACAAGUCUAUAUUGAUUUGCACUUUGCGACCAUCCUUGUGUUGUCUUAACAGCUCACAUUUAUCUAGUGAGAUUGAUAUUUGUUUUGUUUUUUAGAUCCUCACAACAAAUUUUCAUGGAAGUGACAGAGGAAUCACCACAUUUGGACUCAAACACCUCAGUCCCCAAUGUGCUACAGGAAGAAAUAGAAAUGGCACUUAAGAAGAUAAAGUCAGGAAGAGCAGCUGAACCAGACAAAGUAGACACAGGAAAACUUAAGAACAAGAUCUUCCCUGCCUUUGAGAUUUUCCUGCAGCAAUUCCAGGUGCUGUGAGGAAGGAAAAUAACAAAGAAAAAAAAGCCUGUCCUCAGGGAGAAGGCAAGAUGCACAGGAAAUAAUUAGUGAUUAAUUUAGGUAUGGAAUUUAUACACCAAAAAUAAACUGGUUCAGAUCAUCUGCGUU
This 491-nucleotide long non-coding RNA is filed under the name Monodelphis domestica (gray short-tailed opossum). RNAcentral's name for it is "lncRNA (ENSMODG00000049346.1)". The record is from RNAcentral. Lineage: Eukaryota; Metazoa; Chordata; Mammalia; Didelphimorphia; Didelphidae.